Molecule: RNA transcript, 3232 nt
Organism: Mya arenaria
Lineage: Eukaryota; Metazoa; Mollusca; Bivalvia; Myida; Myidae
Gene name: scavenger receptor class F member 2-like
Exons: 5
Source: RefSeq, a predicted model, not a curated record
GCAAAGCGGGAUGAAUCACUUUUGUGGCGAUAUUUUCUUCCUGUUUGUGAAAGAAAUAUAAAUAUGUUAGUCGUGAGUGUGGACUGUAAUGAUUAAAAAAAUCGAACAAUCAGACACAUCGCCAGGACAGAAUGGUUUUUUGGAUAUUUUGUGUGCUCUGCUUUGCUCGAUCAUGUAUGGGAGUUUUUAUGGACGGGUUGGACUGCAGUCUAGACUGUGUGUGCUGUAAGGGAGGAGUAGAUCGAUGUGUGUAUGAGUCUAGAUUUGGAGACAAAUUUUGUUUUGAUGGCUGUGUUGACGGCAUAUAUGGGUUUAGAUGUCACAAUCCCUGUCCCGGUAACUGUUCUUUGUGUGCACAAGAUACAAGCAGACCAUGUUACAGCUGCAAGGCUACAUUUUAUGAUAAAAACAGUGAGUGUAGCAAGAGCUGUUCAGUCGGGUGUUUUUGGGGUGACUGUAAUGAUGAUGGAAAAUGUAGUCCAUGUACAGUAAACUUCGAAGGAACAAGCUGUGAGACGUGCAUACAAGGAAAGUAUGGUUCAAGUUGUACACAAUUUUGCAUUAAUCAGAGCUGCCGAUGUUCGAAUGGAACUGAUUGUACUUCUUGUAAAACGGGUUUCUACGACAGUAAUACCUUCUGUCAAACAGCUUGUUCCCCGGGAUGUCAGGAUGGCGUUUGUAAUGAUGACGGAAGUUGCAAUUGUCGAGCUGAGUUCAUGGGAAAUACAUGCAGUGAAUGUCAAUCAGGAUAUUAUGGGGCAUACUGCAAUGUUUCAUGUUCUGUAGGAUGUGUAAAUGGACUGUGCUCAAAAGAUGGUUCUUGUGAAUGUCACCCAAACUUUGUUACAACGAAAUGUGAUACGUGUGCGGAUGAAAGAUACGGUGAUAACUGUAACGAGAUUUGCAGCGUAGGAUGUAUUACAUCGUCCUGUGACAGAAGAAAUGGUUUUGUAAAUGUCUUCCUAACUUUUCUGGCGAUCAAUGCGACCAAUGCAAAUCAGGCUUUUUCGAACAAUCAUGUAACUUACAUUGCUCUGAAAAUUGCAAAGCAUACACAUGCACACGAUACCAGGGGAAGUGCACACUUGGUUGUGUUGAAAGUUUUUCGGGUGACAAUUGCACAACGCCUUGUGACAAAACAUGCGCAACAUGUCUACAACAUGAUAAAUCAUACUGCAGUACAUGCCGAAAUGGAUACAGUGGAUCAACCUGUCGAUGUCCACCCAGCUGCAAUUGUGACUCUGCAUCUGAAAUAUGCACUGAAUGUAAAGAUGGGUACACCAACCCUGAAAAGGAAUGCAAGUGUCAGGCACAAUAUUGCAUCGGAACCAAGUGUGAUCAAUGUAUUAACCAAACGUUUUAUGUUGAUAACAGCGCGUGCUGUGAUUGUCCGAAUAAUUGCAAAGAUGGUACAUGCGAACGUGGACCUACAUGUACUUCUGGCUGUAUUGACGGAUUUUACGGCUUUGAUUGUUCUCAAAGUUGUUUGUCCCCGAGUGCAGACUGUUUAAGAUGUACUCAGAUGUAUGGUAAGUGUCUCGAAUGUAACGAUGGCUUUUACCCUAACGGCAAUGGAAGCUGCAUGAGCUGCAGCAGUAACUGUAAGAAUGGGCAGUGCAAUACUGAGACUGGCGCAUGUAUCAAUGGAUGCACAGAUAGAUUUUGGGGAGACAAGUGCGAUAUUCCGUGUGAUCCAAAUUGUGAUACUUGUCAACUAGAUUCAGGAAUCUGUUUGUCUUGUAAAAACACAACUUACCAUGGACUUUCUUGUAGCGAAUCAUGUAGCACCUCGUGUUUGGAAAGCAAAUGCGAACAAAAUACUGGUUAUUGUUCCAUUGGUUGCUCCAGAGAUUCUUUUGGAAAUAUGUGUGAUAUUAAAUGCCCUUCAAAUUGUCAGCAAGGGGAUUCAAAAACGAGCUGUAAUAUCGAUGGCGACUGUUUAUAUGGCUGCAUCAAUGACCUUGGAGGGAGAGAUUGUUCAGAAAGACGAAUUUACAUUGGCUCUCCCACAAAUGUUGCAACCGCAGCUUUAUCUGGAGUUUUUGGCAUUUUACUUAUUUGUACUGCUGCUGGUUGCUAUCUGUGGAACAGACGAAGGUCAUCACCAACAGUUUCAGAACAGGAAAAUCAGCGUGAAACCGUAAUGACCUACGAACAGCUUCAAAGACAGGCAAACGAACCAACAUACAAGAAUGUUGACGAAAAUUAUUCUGUUCUUUCAACGUAGAUGUUCGAAACACUGUGUCAUUUUUAUGCGAUUAGAGAUGUUGCGACAGUUUUGAAACAAGAACAUAAUCAGGUUUAUGUUGACAUCUCAUACUUGUAGAUAUAAUGAAGUCCUUAUAUGUAUCGUGUAUUUUUUCAGAACUUUAUAACCAGUUAUUCACCAUUAAUAGUUAUAUAUAUAUAUAUAUAUAUAUAUAUAUAUAUAUAUAUACACACACACACACACACAUGUUUCUGAUGUACAUAAAGCAGUGUUUGUUCGACAUGUCUUGUAUUUUACCCGUAUGCUCUAAGCAGUUGGUAAAUGAUCGGACAUGUGUGAGGUUGAGCGCUCACAAACUGUUUUAAGUAAGCGCCGUGGAUGGUUAACCCAGCAUUUAAACAGGAUCUUGGAUUCAUUUUUAGACUUGUCCAGUAAAAAUACCGUUUGGACGAAUUCAAUUGCCUACCAUAUAUGUUUCAUAUAUUAAAAAGGGUUAUCUAGCACUGUAUUUACGUAAUAGAUUAUGGUUGUAGUCCCGAAAAACAACAACAGAAAAGUAAAAACGUUCGUAAAAUAUUUAUUGUAAAUGAGUUGAGUUUGUAGGCCAAGAAUAUAAAGGAAACAGUUCAGAUUUUAAUUUUAGGGGCAAAGACCGAGCAUUUGCUUUAAAAAACUCGGGGAUGAACGUUGUGCUUCAUUAUCGUUUUUAUAGGUCCAUUGUGUCAGAGGCUGAACAAGUAAAAAACGUUAUAACGUUCACAUUAUUUUCGGAAAAAUGGUGCAACUUAAUUCUAACCUUUAAUGUUUGUAUUGAUUAAAUAAUUCAAUAAAACAAAUCCGUCUUAUUAUCUCGUAACCGACCGGUUAUACAUACUAUACGUAAAUCGUUGUAUGUAAAUUGCGGAAUAGUCCCUAGCUGACAAUAAAAGCAGUACCUAGAAUGAAAAUUACAAAUUGUACAUGUGUUUUCAUAAUAUCAUUACGACCAUUGAUGACUGAUUUUCAUUUUAUUAUUGAUUUGUG